AUAAGGCGGUGUCUAAAGGAGACUUCCACCUGGCGAGCUCCAGUUCAAGGCGGGCUCUCUUCCUGGCCGUGCUGUCAAUCACCAUCGGGACGGGUAUCUAUGUGGGCGUGGCCGUGGCGCUCAUCGCCUACCUCUCCAAGAACCACCACUGGUAGCCUCCUCGCCAGGGAGGGAUAUUACCCAUCAGACACCAGGAAUGUGUUGGGAUGUUCACUGUCACCUGGAUUCCGGCUCUCAUCUGGGCUUUCCCUCAGCAGGACGACCCGCAGCGAUGAGCUUGAGGAAGACUUCCUGUUUGCAGACAGCACGUUCAACCAAAACACGGUGAGACGUUCGUGUUUUUAAAUGGUGGCGUCGGCCGGCUGAUCCAACCUCGAUGGGUCGACUUUUUUUUAGGUGACUAUGGAGUUUGGAGGACUCUAACCUGAAGACUUUAAACCAAUCAGAUCGCAGGAUCUUUGUGAGGAAUUGUGGGGAUUUUUAACAAGAUGAGAUGGAAACAAAGAAGCUGCAGCUGUUUGUUCUUCGGUCUCAUUUCCAGUGCUGAGACUUACCUGUGAGACACAGAGAGGAUGGUGAAAGUUUUGGGAAACAAGACGCUUCAGAUUUGGUCAGACAAAUCAGUUGGAAACUUUAAAAACAAUGAAACAUAAAACAAAAAAGCUGUUUAACUUUACCUUGAUUUAUUUUCUUUAAAUUAUAGAAAUUAAAAAGUGAAAUCCUUGGUCAAAAAAAUCCUUCCAAACAAUGAAAUGCUUCUCCAACACGAUGCAGACUACGUUUGUUGAACAGUUAUUAUCUAGAAGUCGAUGCUGCAGCAGCCAUCUAAACUUUAAAAAGAGUAUUUGCUGCUACUUCUUUUCUUCAGCAGCAGAAAGAGCUCGUUAGUAAGUUAGAGAGCAACCAAGAUUCAGCAGAAACACACUUUCAGAGUCCUGCCAACUCCACCUGACACCAAACCACUUUCCGUCACAGUCAUGGUGCGUUCGCGUGCUCCUCGGAUGGUCCCAUUUCCUGAGGUGUGAAGUUGUUCUUUAGACUUCAGUGUGUGUUAAUGUGCUCUUAAGUUGGAAUGUGGUAACAACAUGGACGCUACUACAAAGAUGUGUUGGAUUGUUGUCAUCAAAGUGUGGUGAAAGAGGUUAAAACUUUCUAUUACAAUUUAUUUUUAGAUUUGUUUCCAACAGCACCAGUACAUUACCUGAAACUACUGACAUAUUGCUUUUACUGCAAAUAAAUAACUUUCCUAAUUAAUUUUGGACACACUACAUGGACAGGAAACAAACCUAAACUAACCUAAUACCAUAUUACGAAUUACGCGUUAGCAAGAAAUGUUUCAAACCAUCUGCCAUGUUUGUCCACCAUGUUUCCAUGUAUAUGAUGUCAACAACCUGGCAACUUGUGCACCAAAAUGUU
Molecule: long non-coding RNA, 1416 nt
Organism: Micropterus dolomieu (smallmouth bass)
Lineage: Eukaryota; Metazoa; Chordata; Actinopteri; Centrarchiformes; Centrarchidae
Exons: 2
Source: RefSeq, a predicted model, not a curated record